GUCACCAGCGAGGCGCGGCUCGGCUCACCUGAUGCGCGUGCACCUUCAAACAGUUACGUCAGAUCACAUACUCCAGCAGCUCUUUUAAGAAGUCAUCUCUUGUAAAAGCCAUAACUUGUUCCUAUUUUUCCGAACUGUAAUCCAUAAUUCAUUUACACAUAGUUUUUGCUCUCUCUCUCUCUCUCUCUCUCUUUCUGUGCUUCGUGACAUUUUUAAAUCUCAUAAUCUCAUAUUUUUUUACCUAUUCUUUCAGGAAGCUGCUAGAAUUAACAGGGAACUCAAUGCUGAUCUUGAAGAAGCUGCCAAGGAGGCUGAACAAGUGCUUCAGUGAUUCAGCUCUUCACAGUAAUGUUGAACACAUUCAGCUAGAACUGAUUUGCUUUAAUGAACGCAUCCUUAUUUUAUGUGUUAAUAAUAACUUUCCCUACAGUCCUUCCUCUCAAAUAUUUUGGUCACAGAUUAUAUUUUGCACAUUGUCUCAACAUGUAUAUAUUUCUCUUUGUUUCAGCUGAGAGGAAGACCAAAGGAAGGCCUGUCCUGGGAUUUGAUUUUGGCCGUAUUCUGCGUUACGGAGAAGACCCAGAGCUGCAAAGGCAAAUGGAUUUCUCACAGAUUACUUAGUCCUUCUCCAUCAGCUCUCCACAGUAUCAGCCCUUCCAAAAGCUUCCACAUCUCUCUCAUGUAGCACAUCUGCUCUCAGUCCUUUACUGCCAACUUCCAGUCUUAACAGGUCUACUUGUAUUAAUUUCUCCUCUAGUCAACUACUGUGAGCACUGCGAUCCUGUCACAAUCACUGUAUACAUACUGUAUAUAUAUUUCUUGCUCAAAAUGGUUGACUUUUAUAAUUAUAAAAUUAUAAUUGUUAUUAACUAUAAUUUGUCUUGCACUUAGUCACAAUAGAAGCAAACAAUGAUUACUGGAGACAGGAGGUAUAUUUUUAAAGGUAAUAAUUGUAAAAUAUUGAAGUAUUGUUCUUAAUUUUUUACCUAUUUGUUUGUUAAAGGGAAGAAAAUAAUAUAUUUUCAAUUGGAGCCUUGAAUAUUAUUUGGCAUCUUAUUUGUUUACAAUUUCUGUAAACAAAUUCUCUUUAUUUGUGAAUAUUAGACAAUUUUUUAAAAAGGGGUUUUCUGUUUCAUAUUUCUUAGUUACCUCUAUGCAAAUACAUGUUUAUAAUCAACUGCAUUUUUUGUUUUCAUUUUUUUUCCAUAGUGCCACAAACAGGAGAGAGAAUGCUGUUCUGGGCACUAUGUUUAUCUUGGAAAAGUUUGACAUAUCAAUAAACAUUGGA
Molecule: long non-coding RNA, 1288 nt
Organism: Onychostoma macrolepis
Lineage: Eukaryota; Metazoa; Chordata; Actinopteri; Cypriniformes; Cyprinidae
Exons: 3
Source: RefSeq, a predicted model, not a curated record